This 459-nucleotide ribosomal RNA is filed under the name uncultured bacterium. RNAcentral describes it as "partial 16S ribosomal RNA". It matches the Rfam family "Bacterial small subunit ribosomal RNA", at positions 338 to 795 of the family's 1533-position model. The record is from RNAcentral.
CCUACGGGAGGCAGCAGUGAGGAAUAUUGGUCAAUGGGCGCGAGCCUGAACCAACCAAGUCGCGUGAGGGAAGACGGUCCUAUGGAUUGUAAACCUCUUUUGUCGGGGAGCAAAAGACGCCACGCGUCGCGUUCCGAGAGUACCCGAAGAAAAAGCAUCGGCUAACUCCGUGCCAGCAGCCGCGGUAAUACGGAGGAUGCGAGCGUUAUCCGGAUUUAUUGGGUUUAAAGGGUGCGCAGGCGGAAGAUCAAGUCAGCGGUAAAAGUGAGAGGCUCAACCUCUUCGAGCCGUUGAAACUGGUUUUCUUGAGUGGGUGAGAAGUAUGCGGAAUGCGUGGUGUAGCGGUGAAAUGCGUAGAUAUCACGCAGAACUCCGAUUGCGAAGGCAGCAUACCGGCGCUCAACUGACGCUCAUGCACGAAAGUGUGGGUAUCGAACAGGAUUAGAUACCCCUGUAGUC